UAGUCAUAUGCUUGUCUCAAAGAUUAAGCCAUGCAUGUCUAAGUAUGAGUUCAUUUAUGUUCCUAACUGCGAACGGCUCAUUAAAUCAGUUAUAAUCUACUCGGUUAUCAUCUUUUAGAUGGAUAACUCUGGCAAAUCUAGAGCUAAUACAUGCGUAAAAACCCGACUUUUUGGAAGGGUUCCACUAUCUUUUUUUAACCAAUAGGUUGGACUCUGUUCAACCUUUUGAUGAUUCUUGAUAGUUUGAGCUUAUCGUAGUAGCCUCGUGCUUACGAUAAACCGAUCGAGUAUCUGCCCUAUCAGCUUGUUGGUAAUGUAUUGGAUUACCAUGGCCAUAACGGGUAACGGGGAAUUAGGGUUCGGUUCCGGAGAGGGAGCCUGAGAAAUGGCUACCACUUCCAAGGAAGGCAGCAGGCGCGCAAAUUACCCAAUCCUAAAACGGGGAGGUAGUGACAAUACAUAUCGACGUGGAUUUCUUUUUGAAAUUCGCGAUCGACAUGAGUACAAUCCAAAAAACUUAACGAGGAUCAAUU
This 533-nucleotide ribosomal RNA is filed under the name uncultured eukaryote. Its description in RNAcentral is "bacterial SSU rRNA". It matches the Rfam family "Eukaryotic small subunit ribosomal RNA", at positions 21 to 549 of the family's 1831-position model. The record is from RNAcentral.